Molecule: ribosomal RNA, 503 nt
Filed under: uncultured marine eukaryote
Lineage: Eukaryota
Description: bacterial SSU rRNA
Rfam family: Eukaryotic small subunit ribosomal RNA
Source: RNAcentral
GUGCCGCUCCCAAUCAGCCCGCGUUUGCCCCAGCCUCCUAUCGCACGGAAACGGAGUCCUGCUGGGGUCUCCUUAACUGGGGGUUCCAGCGCUUCCGCGCACAACGUGCGCUUACGGACCGUCCGUGGACGUUACUGUGAACAAAACAGCGUGUUCAAAGCAAGUGGCUUGCCUGCCCUGCAUGUUAAAGCAUGGAAUAACAAGGCAUCGACCACUCGGCGGUGCUUUUGUUGGUCUUUCCCUCCCGGUGGGAAUGCGCAGGCGUGCACACUGCCGGCCUUCUGGCCGGUCUGGGUGCCGUCUCUUCGAGAUCAAUAGGGGCAAACGGGGAGAUACCUAUUGAGGGGAGAGCGGUGAAAUGCGAUGACCCCCAUAAGAGGAACUUCAGCGAAAGCAGUUCUCAAGACUGCCUUCGUUAAUCAAGAACGAGACUGUGGGGAUCAAAGAUGAUCAGAUACCGUCGUAGUCCACUAGCGUAAACGAUGCCGACUCAUCAUUGGGGG